CGCCUGGUUUAUCAAAAACAUGGCUCCUUGAAUAUCAUGAGGGGUCGUGCCUUCCCGGUGAGCUUGCGAGCUUAAACGGACGCGGUAAAGCGUGCUAAGGUAGCUAAAUUAUGGCCUAUUAAUUGUAGGUCCUGUGAAUGGUUUGACGAGUUUCCAACUGUCUCUAAUUUUUUUUGGUGAACUUGAAUUGGAUGUGCAAAUGCUUCCAUGGGUAAGAAAGACGAGAAGACCCCGUGAAGUUAGAAAUUUUAGCUAUUGAGGCCUUUUAACUAUGAAGUUAAGUGUUAAAGGUUAUACUUUGUUAGGUGAAUAGUGACAGUUUUGGCUGGGGCAGCAAAAGAGCAAAGUCAGACUCUUUUAGUUUUAUGUGACUGGUGUGUUACGACCCACAAAUUUUAGGGUGUGAUUAUCAGAAGAAGUUACUCCGGGGAUAACAGCGUAAUCUGUCCUGACAGUUCUUAUAGAUGGGCGGGUUUGCGACCUCGAUGUUGGCUCUGGAUAUCCUAAGGCUUGUAGGCCGGUCUUUAGGGUUGGUUCGUUCGCCCAUGAAAAUCCAACGUGAUCUGAGUUCAAAACCGG
This 579-nucleotide ribosomal RNA is filed under the name Amusium pleuronectes. RNAcentral's name for it is "partial 16S ribosomal RNA". It matches the Rfam family "Bacterial large subunit ribosomal RNA", at positions 1797 to 2620 of the family's 2925-position model. Lineage: Eukaryota; Metazoa; Mollusca; Bivalvia; Pectinida; Pectinidae. The record is from RNAcentral.